GGGUUGUGAGGUUAAGCGACUAAGCGUACACGGUGGAUGCCCUGGCAGUCAGAGGCGAUGAAGGACGUGCUAAUCUGCGAAAAGCGCCGGCGAGGUGAUAUGAACCCUUGACCCGGCGAUGUCCGAAUGGGGAAACCCAGUGUGAUUCGUCACACUAUCGUUAACUGAAUACAUAGGUUAACGAGGCGAACCGGGGGAACUGAAACAUCUAAGUACCCCGAGGAAAAGAAAUCAACCGAGAUUCCCCCAGUAGCGGCGAGCGAACGGGGAGCAGCCCGGAGUCUGAAUCAGCUUGUGUGUUAGUGGAACGGUCUGGAAAGUCCGACGGUACAGGGUGAUAGUCCCGUACACGAAAGCACACUUGCUGUGAACUCGAAGAGUAGGGCGGGACACGUGGUAUCCUGUCUGAAUAUGGGGGGACCAUCCUCCAAGGCUAAAUACUCCUGACUGACCGAUAGUGAACCAGUACCGUGAGGGAAAGGCGAAAAGAACCCCGGCGAGGGGAGUGAAAAAGAACCUGAAACCGUGUACGUACAAGCAGUGGGAGCACCUUCGUGGUGUGACUGCGUACCUUUUGUAUAAUGGGUCAGCGACUUAUAUUCUGUAGCAAGGUUAACCGUAUAGGGGAGCCGAAGGGAAACCGAGUCUUAACUGGGCGUUAAGUUGCAGGGUAUAGACCCGAAACCCGGUGAUCUAGCCAUGGGCAGGUUGAAGGUUGGGUAACACUAACUGGAGGACCGAACCGACUAAUGUUGAAAAAUUAGCGGAUGACCUGUGGCUGGGGGUGAAAGGCCAAUCAAACCGGGAGAUAGCUGGUUCUCCCCGAAAGCUAUUUAGGUAGCGCCUCGUGAACUCAUCUUCGGGGGUAGAGCACUGUUUCGGCUAGGGGGCCAUCCCGGCUUACCAACCCGAUGCAAACUACGAAUACCGAAGAAUGUUAUCACGGGAGACACACGGCGGGUGCUAACGUCCGUCGUGAAGAGGGAAACAACCCAGACCGCCAGCUAAGGUCCCAAAGUCAUGGUUAAGUGGGAAACGAUGUGGGAAGGCACAGACAGCCAGGAUGUUGGCUUAGAAGCAGCCAUCAUUUAAAGAAAGCGUAAUAGCUCACUGGUCGAGUCGGCCUGCGCGGAAGAUGUAACGGGGCUAAACCAUGCACCGAAGCUGCGGCAGCGACACUAUGUGUUGUUGGGUAGGGGAGCGUUCUGUAAGCCGUUGAAGGUGUGCUGUGAGGCAUGCUGGAGGUAUCAGAAGUGCGAAUGCUGACAUAAGUAACGAUAAAGCGGGUGAAAAGCCCGCUCGCCGGAAGACCAAGGGUUCCUGUCCAACGUUAAUCGGGGCAGGGUGAGUCGACCCCUAAGGCGAGGCCGAAAGGCGUAGUCGAUGGGAAACAGGUUAAUAUUCCUGUACUUGGUGUUACUGCGAAGGGGGGACGGAGAAGGCUAUGUCAGCCGGGCGACGGUUGUCCCGGUUUAAGCAUGUAGGCGGAGGUUCCAGGUAAAUCCGGUACCUUAUUAACGCUGAGGUGUGAUGACGAGGCACUACGGUGCUGAAGUGAUAAAUGCCCUGCUUCCAGGAAAAGCCUCUAAGCAUCAGGUAACACGAAAUCGUACCCCAAACCGACACAGGUGGUCAGGUAGAGAAUACCAAGGCGCUUGAGAGAACUCGGGUGAAGGAACUAGGCAAAAUGGUGCCGUAACUUCGGGAGAAGGCACGCUGAUGUGUAGGUGAAGUCCCUGCGGACGGAGCUGAAAUCAGUCGAAGAUACCAGCUGGCUGCAACUGUUUAUUAAAAACACAGCACUGUGCAAACACGAAAGUGGACGUAUACGGUGUGACGCCUGCCCGGUGCCGGAAGGUUAAUUGAUGGGGUUAGCUGUAAGGCGAAGCUCUUGAUCGAAGCCCCGGUAAACGGCGGCCGUAACUAUAACGGUCCUAAGGUAGCGAAAUUCCUUGUCGGGUAAGUUCCGACCUGCACGAAUGGCGUAAUGAUGGCCAGGCUGUCUCCACCCGAGACUCAGUGAAAUUGAACUCGCUGUGAAGAUGCAGUGUACCCGCGGCAAGACGGAAAGACCCCGUGAACCUUUACUAUAGCUUGACACUGAACACUGGUCCUUGAUGUGUAGGAUAGGUGGGAGGCUUUGAAGCGUGGACGCCAGUCUGCGUGGAGCCGCCCUUGAAAUACCACCCUUUAAUGGCUGGUGUUCUAACGUAGACCCGUAAUCCGGGUUGCGGACAGUGUCUGGUGGGUAGUUUGACUGGGGCGGUCUCCUCCCAAAGAGUAACGGAGGAGCACGAAGGUUGGCUAAUCCUGGUCGGACAUCAGGAGGUUAGUGCAAUGGCAUAAGCCAGCUUGACUGCGAGCGUGACGGCGCGAGCAGGUGCGAAAGCAGGUCAUAGUGAUCCGGUGGUUCUGAAUGGAAGGGCCAUCGCUCAACGGAUAAAAGGUACUCCGGGGAUAACAGGCUGAUACCGCCCAAGAGUUCAUAUCGACGGCGGUGUUUGGCACCUCGAUGUCGGCUCAUCACAUCCUGGGGCUGAAGUAGGUCCCAAGGGUAUGGCUGUUCGCCAUUUAAAGUGGUACGCGAGCUGGGUUUAGAACGUCGUGAGACAGUUCGGUCCCUAUCUGCCGUGGGCGCUGGAGAAUUGAGGGGGGCUGCUCCUAGUACGAGAGGACCGGAGUGGACGCAUCACUGGUGUUCGGGUUGUCAUGCCAAUGGCACUGCCCGGUAGCUAAAUGCGGAAGAGAUAAGUGCUGAAAGCAUCUAAGCACGAAACUUGCCCCGAGAUGAGUUCUCCCUGAGACUUUAAGUCUCCUGAAGGAACGUUGAAGACGACGACGUUGAUAGGUCGGGUGUGUAAGCGCAGCGAUGCGUUGAGCUAACCGAUACUAAUGAACCGUGAGGCUUAACCUUACAACGCCGAAG
This 2926-nucleotide ribosomal RNA is filed under the name Enterobacter cloacae. RNAcentral describes it as "bacterial LSU rRNA". It matches the Rfam family "Bacterial large subunit ribosomal RNA". Lineage: Bacteria; Pseudomonadati; Pseudomonadota; Gammaproteobacteria; Enterobacterales; Enterobacteriaceae. The record is from RNAcentral. RNAcentral also lists the same sequence under 4 other names.